GACGAACGCUGGCGGUGUGCUUCACACAUGCAAGUCGAACGAGGUAGCAAUACCUAGUGGCGGACGGGUGAGUAACGCGUGGGAAUCUGCCUUUAGAUGGGGGAUAACGGGUCGAAAGACUCGCUAAUACCGCAUAUGACGAAAGUUGAAAGGAGUAAUCCGUCUAAAGAUGAGCCCGCGUCCGAUUAGCUAGUUGGUAGAGUAAAAGCCUACCAAGGCGACGAUCGGUAGCUGGUCUGAGAGGAUGAUCAGCCACAAUGGGAACUAGAGACACGGCCCAUACUCCUACGGAGGCAGCAGUGGGAAUUUUACGCAAUGGGCGAAAGCCUGACGUAGCGACACCGCGUGAGCGAAGAAGCCCUUGGGGUGUAAAGCUCUGUCAGCUGGAACGAAAAAAAUGACGGUACCAGCAGAGGAAGCAUCGGCUAACUAACGUGCCAG
This 441-nucleotide ribosomal RNA is filed under the name uncultured bacterium. RNAcentral's name for it is "bacterial SSU rRNA". It matches the Rfam family "Bacterial small subunit ribosomal RNA", at positions 28 to 511 of the family's 1533-position model. The record is from RNAcentral.